Molecule: ribosomal RNA, 821 nt
Filed under: uncultured eukaryote
Lineage: Eukaryota
Description: SSU rRNA
Rfam family: Eukaryotic small subunit ribosomal RNA
Source: RNAcentral
CGGUGUUUAACUGGCGUGAUGUGGGACGUCCUACCGGUGGGCUUAGCCUCGCGAGGGGCGGCCCAACUAAUAUCCCGUCGCGGUGCUCUUUACUGAGUGUCGAGUCGGGCCGGUACGUUUACUUUGAACAAAUUAGAGUGCUUAAAGCAGGCUAUCCUCGCCUGAAUACUGCGUGCAUGGAAUAAUGGAAUAGGACCUCGGUUCUAUUUUGUUGGUUUUCGGAACCCCGAGGUAAUGAUUAAUAGGGACAGAUGGGGGCAUUCGUAUUGCGACGUUAGAGGUGAAAUUCUUGGAUCGUCGCAAGACGGACAGAAGCGAAAGCAUUUGCCAAAAAUGUUUUCAUUAAUCAAGAACGAAAGUUAGAGGUUCGAAGGCGAUCAGAUACCGCCCUAGUUCUAACCAUAAACGAUGCCAGCUAGCGAUCCGCCGAAGUUCCUCCGAUGACUCGGCGGGCAGCUUCCGGGAAACCAAAGCUUUUGGGUUCCGGGGGAAGUAUGGUUGCAAAGCUGAAACUUAAAGGAAUUGACGGAAGGGCACCACCAGGAGUGGAGCCUGCGGCUUAAUUUGACUCAACACGGGAAACCUCACCAGGCCCAGACACCGGGAAGGAUUGACAGAUUGAUAGCUCUUUCUUGAUUCGGUGGGUGGUGGUGCAUGGGCCGUUCUUAGUUGGUGGAGCGAUUUGUCUGGUUAAUUCCGAUAACGAACGAGACUCUAGCCUGCUAAAUAGGCGUACCUUAUGGUAUCGCGAAGGCCCCCGGCUUCGGCCGGUGGGUUUUUACUACCAACGUACAAACAAAUCUUCUUAGAGGGACAGGCGG